CGAAGGGGAAGAGAUGGCCGCUCCUCUUAAGAGCCCAUCACCGGGUCUUGAGAGGGGAGGAAAGUCCGAGCUCCAGAGGGCAGGGUGGUCCGUAACACGGACUGCCCCGCCUCGUAAGGGGCGGGGUAAGGAAAGUGCCACAGAAAAGAUACCGUUCCGACGAAAGUCGGAAUAAGGGUGAAAAGGCGAGGUAAGAGCUCACCAGUACCCCGAGCGAUCGGGGUAGCUUGGUAAACCCCACCCGGAGCAAGACCAAAUAGGUCCCGCUCUCCGCCAAAGGCGGAGCGAGAAGGGCCCAUUCGAAUCUGUUCGGACAACAAGUAGGACAGAGGCGGGACGGGUCAGGUCGCUUGAGGCUCUGAGCAAUCAGAGUCCCAGAUAAAUGGCCAUCGUUCCGAUCCUGCUGAAGGCAGGAGAGGGAUACAGAACUCGGCUUAUGGUCCCCUUCGAUCC
Molecule: RNase P RNA, 453 nt
Filed under: Syntrophaceae bacterium
Lineage: Bacteria; Pseudomonadati; Thermodesulfobacteriota; Syntrophia; Syntrophales; Syntrophaceae
Description: RNase P RNA component class A
Rfam family: Bacterial RNase P class A
About the family: Ribonuclease P (RNase P) is a ubiquitous endoribonuclease, found in archaea, bacteria and eukarya as well as chloroplasts and mitochondria. Its best characterised activity is the generation of mature 5'-ends of tRNAs by cleaving the 5'-leader elements of precursor-tRNAs.
Source: RNAcentral